UUGGCCUACGGGAGGCAGCAGUGAGGAAUAUUGGUCAAUGGGCUUACGCCUGAACCAGCCAAGUCGCGUGAGGGAAGACUGCCCUAUGGAUUGUAAACCUCUUUUGUCAGGGAGCAACGCCGGCUACGUGUAGCCGGACUGAGAGUACCUGAAGAAAAAGCAUCGGCUAACUCCGUGCCAGCAGCCGCGGUAAUACGGAGGAUGCGAGCGUUAUCCGGAUUUAUUGGGUUUAAAGGGUGCGUAGGCGGAAUGCCAAGUCAGCGGUACAAUCGUGGGGCCCAACCCCAUCCCGCCGU
This 296-nucleotide ribosomal RNA is filed under the name uncultured bacterium. Its description in RNAcentral is "partial 16S ribosomal RNA". It matches the Rfam family "Bacterial small subunit ribosomal RNA", at positions 334 to 627 of the family's 1533-position model. The record is from RNAcentral.